Molecule: long non-coding RNA, 1186 nt
Organism: Lutra lutra (Eurasian river otter)
Lineage: Eukaryota; Metazoa; Chordata; Mammalia; Carnivora; Mustelidae
Exons: 3
Source: RefSeq, a predicted model, not a curated record
CAAUGGGAGCAGAUGUGAACAUGGAACUCAUGCUGCCUGUCAUGCCAUGAGUACAAAAUGUCUAACCAUUGGGGUUGUUGUUUCCAUCCCCACAGCUUUUGGAAGUGUAUCAAGUCAGUUCCGUAUGCGCUCAAGCCCUUGACAAGACCUGGACACAUGACUCAAGAACAAAAUGGUCAAAGUAUGUGAAAUGGAGACUCGCAGAAGGGGAAAUCUGAACAAAUAAGAACACAUGGCAAGCAUCUGGAGUCUUGUGAAUGAAGACAGGAUGAAGUUUCCAUCUCUUACUGCAUUACCCUGUCCUUCUACCUUAGAAGCAUGACUUAAAACAACUACAAAAAAAACGGCUUUUCUUAUCCACCAGGGAAGACCCUUUGAAGUGGGUGGUCAAGCCAUUCCUCCAUUUUUAACCACAUUCCUACCUAAAAAGAGCACUUGGAGCUCCUUCUGGCACAGCCUGCCGUAUGCCCUCUUCUUGGACAUAUCUGCUGCCGCAUAGAGAGAGCGUCAGGAGGUCCACGUGGCUGGGAAUUUCUAGACAUUCAGCCUAGGAGUAUGGAGAAAGCAAUGACCGGAAGCUGGAUUUGAAGGCACCGUAAGGAAGGCAUUUCUUACAAGGUAACCUACGGAUGCAACUGUCUCUAGGUAGGUGACGUGCCCUUGUUGAUGCUGAGACUGGAACACUUGGUGGGAACUCAAAGCGACUCAAACACAUAUAGAAACCGGGCAGUAGAUGGUUGGCCAGAGACUGACUGUAUAUGGCUUGUAAUUCGUUUCUACUUUGAACUUAAAUUAUGUAGGAAAGGAAUACGCUUCAGCAGCAGAAGAAUUGAGUGUAUCAACAAUGCCUACAAGUCUGAAGGAGCCACUCUGCAUUUUACGUAAAUCUUCUUUCCUUCAAAGGGGCUUCAAAGUACCGGCAGACAAUGGACACGUGCUCUGUGCCUCUUGCUCCGAGGACGGAGACACCACUGCAUUAGGGGAGGCCUGACGUUAGCCUUCUUUCUCUCACUUUUCCCCCAGUCCCAGCUCUUAUUUCAGGAUCAUAUGAGAUUUACGCAAGAUCCUGCUCGCCUCCCUAAUCAGGGAAGACAGAGGAGAUUCAAGUUCCUGGGGAAGGGGAAGCUGCUGUUGAGCAGAAGGCAAUGGGAGAGUGAUCUGGGACAGAGAACGCGGGUGCGGGUGU